Molecule: long non-coding RNA, 5232 nt
Filed under: Homo sapiens (human)
Lineage: Eukaryota; Metazoa; Chordata; Mammalia; Primates; Hominidae
Description: HSALNT0150762
Source: RNAcentral
CUUGUUAGCCAGGAUGGUCUCGAUCUCCUGACCUCAUGAUCCACCCGCCUCGGCCUCCCAAAGUGUAGAACUCUUCUUUUUUUCUUAUAAUUUAGCUGUAACUUUGCAAUUAUUUCCCAAAAAAAUGUUUAAAACUUUUUUUCUACAUAACCCCAGUAGACUCAGGACUUGGAGACACACAAUAAGAAAGAAAGAAGAAAAGUAAAAGAAAUUCAAGCCUGAAAAUUGGUUUCAGGGCUGCAGAUAUCUAUUGUGGUGAUUGUUGUUAGACUUCCAGUCACCACACCAACAGCUUUUUUUCUUAAUCAAACCAGUUCUAAGAAUAUGUAGCAAAUUAGCCAGCAACAAAAAUCUCCAUGGGUAAAGCCAUCUGAUUCCUGCCUCAGCUCACUGCCUAUAGCUCUAACCACCCUGCAACCCAGCAUCCAAUUGGAUUCUGGGAGCUUUAGUUCUGUUGCAACUGUUCUAACUGUCAUUACUGGUGUACAGAGAAGAGCUUCACUGAGGAUCCCUUUCAGGAUGCUGUGACUCCCUUUACAAUUAUAUUUCUCACUGCCUUGGUAAAGGGUCUUUUGGACUCUUCUUGGAUGUAGUUUAGCGGGUAGGUGAGUGGUUCUUCGAUGAGAAAUCUACUCUAGCAUUUCAAUUUCCCUGGGCCCUGUAGACCUUCUGCAACAUACCAGUGGAGUUCUGGCAUUUCACCUGGAUUUAGUCUAGGCCACCACAUUUUAGUCAAUUAACCAAGCAAACUCUUAGAGCCACUCAAACGGACACAUUGAGUCCAGAAUCUUGGCUUAACGUUUCUAUAUCAAGAUUUCAUCCUUGUCCAAUAUUAUAUUCCUUUCCUCCUGAUCAGACCCUUAGGAUCCAUUUCCAUGCAUGUUCCUCGGGUUUCUGUCUAUAUAAAUUGAUAAACUCUUGCAAUAUUUAGAUGUAACUUGCAUCCUCUCAUGGUUCACACUUUGUAACUCACACUCUGGGGCCUGGUGAGACUUGAAUCUGGUUACAAAUGUAGAAACAAGAGGCACUGAAGGUUUUCAGGAAGGUUGGCAAUCCUUUGCAAGACAAUUACCUUGAAAGAAGUUAUCACAAUCUUUAAGGCAAAGGAAUACUAACUUUAAUCUUGGAGAAAGGGUUUCCAUCUGCAAAAGGGGCUCUGAAGAAUUUAGAGAUUCAUGGUCUCCAGCUUCACUGGAAUUUGUCCAUAUGUCCCCUUUUAAUUGUUAGAGAGAGUCUCACUCUUAGUCAGUGUACCAAGUUCAACAUGAAUUCAAUUUGCCUUGUAAUCUAGCCACCAGAAAGAUCAGACUUUGAAUUUGUUUUUCAGAAAUCUUGGCCCUAUGUCUACAGGAGAAAAAAAGGUACUCAUUGAAGCAUUCUGCUCCCUUAUGCAGACCUUGAGCUGGGAAUUCAAAGCCCCGACUUCACUGUUUUCUUUCCCUAAGUUCUCUAUUUUACUUGGAAGCAACUAACCAAUCCCAUUAUGUUCCUUAUUUCUACCAAAAUAUUCUAAGGUACCACUACUUGAUCCCCCAAACCUCUGCCUUCUAUAGGCUGGUGAUUCCAGAUGCCUGCAGGUGAUCAGAUAUCUAAGUAACCCUCUUGCCACCAAAUACCACACACACUUCAGUUACUCUUUCAAAAAAAAUUAUCAAGCAACUGCUCUGUGCCAGAGACUCUUCUAGUCCUGAAGAUACAGUGAUAAAUAAGAUAGAGACAGUUCCUGCUGCCAUUCAGCUUGGUUCUAGUGAGAAAGACAGAUAUAUUAAAAAAUAACUUGACAUUACAUUUUCAAGAAUUUAAGUACUUUAUUGGAAAAUAUAACUGUGUAAGAAGACAGAUAUUGACAAGGACACUUAGUUCUUGUAGCGAGGAAGUAUAGACUUAACUCUUAUUAGUAAAAGAGUGUUUAAGAAUAAAAAUAUAUCAAUACCCCUAACUUUGGAGACAAACUGAAGUACUGAAUGUACUUCUAUUUUUGAUUUUUCCCUUAGCAUGGUGAGUUGUUUGGGAAAUGAUUCAAUAGUUAUUUGUAGUUUCUAAAUUCUCAGCAGCAGUUGCCUCCUGAUAUGUGUCACUAUAUAUUCUGAGUUGACAUCUGUUAUCUGAAUCACCAAAAUAGUGCCUUGUUUUAAAAUUUAUCCACUAUUGGCUUAUGUUUUAUCUUACUCUAGGCCAUGUUAUCACUACAUGUGACAUCUCUGUAUAUGUGUUUGUGAAACUGGGAUAAAGUUGGCAAAACUUGAGAUAGAGGAAACUAUCUAUGAAACAUGUUUUGCAUUAGUAGAACAGGAGGCAUAAGCACAUUUGGAAUAGAAAGAACAGAGAAGGCGAUACUGGAGAAAUAGGAUCUCACAAAGGAAAGUAGAAUGCACGUAGAGAACUUAAAUGCAAUUUAGGCAAUAACCUAUGCAAUUUGGACAACUAUAGACCUACUAUGGCUUAUGGUUUCUACCAACUAGACUUAAGCUUCUUUUGGAAUAAAGCCUUUGCCUCAUGGAGGAAGUCAGUUAAUGUUUGUUGAUUGUGAUUUUGAUGAUGACAUUCAUGAUGAUAUUCUAUUUGGGGAAUGUUUUUCAAAGUGGGGCUUUGACCUGACAAACUGUUAUACCGAUAGAAAAAUCAACAUUCUCUCACUGACACCUUAGGUAUUUGACAGAUAUCUGAAAGAAAAAUAAUUUGAUAUGACCAAGCAAUAGUGAAGUGUAGGAUAUUGAUCUCCAGAGAUUUGUGAGACUAAAAAUUGUGCAAACGAAUAAAAAAAAAUCAUAGUCUAGAUUAUCCCAAUGUUGAACAAUAUACUUAUGUUUACACAUAAUGUUGGAAAAGUCAUCAGUGCAAUUUCUACAAUGCACUGAUGAUAAUGAUAAUGAAAUUUUAGUGACAAUGUGAUAAUGAAAUUUUAGAAGAAAUUAUAAUUAGUUUUUCAUCUCUCUUAAAUGGAUGUGUUGUUUUUUCUGUCCUCUUCCUUCUCCAUUUAUGCCUGUUCUGGUUCCUUGUUGACUUGGGGAAAUAUACAUGUGGGUAAUAAGGGUGAACAUUUCCGCAGAAACAAAGCAGGUCUACUAUGCUUCAGCAGGCUUAACUCUCAUUUGUUUAAUGAGGGUUUGGAAAGAUGGGGGGGUUUCCUACAUAUAGUCAAUGCAUACUUAAGAACACCUACUAUGUGCUGGCUUCAUUUUAGUCUCUAGGAACUGGGAGACAUAUUGAGCCAUCUGUAUCUACAUAUAUUAAAAUUGUUGUACCGAAGAGUAUUUCAAGGUCUUCUAUCUGUUUUCUUUUGGAUAGAAGCAGUCAGUGCAAACCAGCAUGGUGAAUGAGCUUGAUUGUAUUUAAGAGAAAAAAUUCUCACUUUUGGGGUUUUUGCUACCAAUUUUAAGAAUGGGGAGCUGUUUUCAGAACUAAAAGUUUGCCAGCGCACUAAUAAGAUGUAAAAUGAAGAAAAAUUAAAAAAUAGCUCUAUGGUUUCAAAGAAUGUGGAGCUACUUUGGCUUCAUCGGCAGAGUAAGUCUGUUAAUAACCCCGAAGCUCUCCCCUUGUUGAAAUAACACAAAUUAGCGUUUAACCUGGGAGGAAGACACGUGAAGUUAUUUAACAUUUACAUAAAAUUAUGGAGUAAACUCCAAACAGGUCGCCUCCAAAAUGUAUAAUUACACUCAGCAGUCCUGUCAGCAUACAUAGAAACAAUUUUAUUUCCAAUCAUCUUCUGCUUUUAUUCACUCAGGAAUGUAUCAUUAAAAUUUCCACAGAACAAUGAACCUUAAUAGGCGCUAAUGCAAUUGUGAAUUAUGGUAAUUGUUACCUAAAUUAAUCUCUGUACUUUCCAUUCCUUAUUGCCCUGUGCAUAAGGAGUGUGAAAAAGAUAAUGUUGAAACUGACAUUUGUAUAAAUGGUAUAAAAAUUUAUCUUAUUUAAUAAAAAUUUAAUAUAAGAACUUGCUACUUUGUAAAGUAGUUUACUCAGAAAAAAAUGUUAGAUUUGUUGCAAGUUGGGUUUAUAAAAUCUUUAAUUUGUGAAAUUUGGGAGGGAAACUGGCAGUUGACUCAUUAUGGUUAUCUUUGGGGUAUGUGUAUGCACCGAGGUAUCGGGAUGGUACAUGUAUGUUCCUCCGUGCACAUAUUGCCAGGGCAGUGUAUGCAUUCGUACCCUUAUCUGUGUGCCUGGCCUCUUUCUGUGUGUUUAUGUUUACUCAUUUACGUAAACUACCCUCUUGGUGUAAUAAAAUCCACCAUUAUGUGUUGAAUUGUGUUCCUCUCAAAUUCAUAUGCUGAAGUCUCCUAGUUCUUCAGAAUGUGACCAUAUUUGAAGAUAGGACCUUUAAAGAGGUGAUUAAGUUAAAAUUAGGCCGUAUGUUUGGGCUCUAAUCCAGUGUGACUGGUGUCCAUCUAAGAAGAAAUUAGGACAGAGACAUAGAGGGAAGACCAUUGGAAGACACAGGGAUAAGAUGGCUGUCUACAAGCCAAGGAGAGAGGCUCCUGAAGAAACCGGCCCUGCCAAUACCAUCUUGUCAGAUAUAUGGCCUCCAGAACUGUGGGAAAAUAAAUUUCUGUUGUUUAAGCCACACAGCCUGUAGUACUUUGUUAUGGCAGUUCUAACAAACUCAUAUACUCACCUGGAUUGGAAAUAAAGAAAUACAGGGUUUUGUCUUGUUUCUGUCACUCCUGAAUUAUAUUUGACUUUGGGCAUAUCACUCAGCCUUCCCAUUUGCCGUGUGGUCCAGUUCUUGUAUACUUGUUUAUUCAAACCACUCAGUUUCAUAGUCUUUGCUAACCGCGCCCUGACUUUACUCUGAGAAAACACUCACCCUUCACAUUUAUUUCUCACAGUUCAGAUGGAGCUGAUCUUCUGCUCCAGCUCCAGUGGGCAUGUUACUCAGGUCUGGCCAAUCAAUAUGUUCCAUGCCCACAAUGACUGGUUCAAGAAUGCACAUAUGACAGAGCCCUGGACAAUGAGAUUCCAUUUCAGGACUUAAUCUGGAACUAUUGUGCAGGUAGGAUCUCUGUUUGCUGAAGCUGCUAAGGUGAGAGGAUGAAUGUCUGGGGCUUGCUUCAGCUGUCUUGGAACCACAGAGAAGGGUCAGACCAAGAAUGAAGCCAAUGCAGAGAAAAGUGAACCACAAGAUGGAGAGAGAUCAGUACUAAGAACGCUUUGUGAGUCCCCGAUCCAGCCUUGCCUGAAGCCAGUGAUUCUUGGGGGCCCUGUAGUUUUCAUUAAUAAGCUAGUGAAUCCCUC